AACCCAUGGUGAGGGCACAUUUUCAGUAAGUCCUUAUAUCUCUCCCAUGCAUCGUAAAGUGUUUCUAAAUCCAUCUGCACAAAAGAAGAGAUAUCAUUACGUAAUUU
Molecule: small nucleolar RNA, 107 nt
Filed under: Gossypium hirsutum (cotton)
Lineage: Eukaryota; Viridiplantae; Streptophyta; Magnoliopsida; Malvales; Malvaceae
Also listed under: 1 other name
Description: Plant small nucleolar RNA R71
Rfam family: Plant small nucleolar RNA R71
About the family: R71 is a member of the C/D box family of snoRNAs containing the C (UGAUGA) and D (CUGA) box motifs. Multiple nearly identical copies of this snoRNA have been identified in Arabidopsis, and it is thought to function as a 2'-O-ribose methylation guide for 18S ribosomal RNA.
Source: Rfam by way of RNAcentral